GUCCCUGGAGGCCUGGAUGGUUUUUCUUUUAAUGCUCAAAUAUAUUAAGUUUGAUGACAUUUUUUUUACAGAAAAACAUAUAAUUAUGGUGUGAUUGAUACUAACAAUAUCACGAUAGCCGCUCUCCCUCCCCUAACCUUUUCUAAGAAUUGGUUCGUUGGUAAAGUUUUAUGCGGGAUCUCAACAAAUAUCAAUGUUUCGAGUAAAUUCAUAUGGAUCAAGCGGAAAUCAUCCUUUCAGCUACAACAAAUCGUUAAGACCCUGUCUCUGAAAAGGCUGCAUGUUCCAGCGUUAUACACGAGAAACGUUAUACAGUGCAAGAUCUAUUCAACGACUGUAGUUUUGAUGAAGAAAACCUUUAUUUGAUUCAAUUUAUCAUGUAUUUGUUAGAUCUAUCUUUCUUUUGUACAUGUCGUAUGCCUUUUUAUUAAUGAAUUAAUUUAAAACUUGUAUUUUACCACCUAAAAACAUAUUAAAACUUGUUUUUACCACCUGAAAAUGAAAAAA
Spinacia oleracea (spinach) is the source of this 507-nucleotide long non-coding RNA. RefSeq lists it as uncharacterized. The record is from RefSeq and is a predicted model, not a curated record. The transcript is spliced from 2 exons. Lineage: Eukaryota; Viridiplantae; Streptophyta; Magnoliopsida; Caryophyllales; Amaranthaceae.